RNAcentral lists this ribosomal RNA (757 nucleotides) under uncultured eukaryote. RNAcentral's name for it is "bacterial SSU rRNA". It matches the Rfam family "Eukaryotic small subunit ribosomal RNA", at positions 675 to 1426 of the family's 1831-position model. The record is from RNAcentral.
UAUUCGUAAAGGUUGGGUAAAACUGGCUUUGAAAAAUAAAGGAUCACAAUAAGUAAUAAAGUGGGGUUCCAGUUCAUUUACUUUGAGUAAAUUAGAGUGUUCAAAGCAGCCUUUUAGGGGUAUUGAAUAGAUUAGCAUGGGAUAAUAGAAUAGGACUUUUGUUUAUUUUCUAAUUGGUUAUUAAACAGAAGUAAUGAUUAAUAGGGAUAGUUGGGGGCACUUGUAUUCAAUAGUCAGAGGUGAAAUUCUAGGAUUUAUUGAAGACAAACUUCAGCGAAAGCAUUUGCCAAGGAUGUUUUCAUUAAUCAAGAACGAAAGUUAGGGGAUCGAAGACGAUUAGACACCGUCGUAGUCUUAACUAUAAACUAUGCCGACCAGGGAUAUGAGAGAAACUCUAUAACAAUCAGGUAACUCUGAUUGUUCUCUUGUGCACCUUGUGAGAAAUCAUAAGUGUUUGGGUUCUGGGGGGAGUAUGGUCGCAAGGCUGAAACUUAAAGGAAUUGACGGAGGGGCACCACCAGGAGUGGAGCCUGCGGCUUAAUUUGACUCAACACGGGAAAACUUACCAGGUCCAGACAUUAGAAGGAUUGACAGGUUGAUAGCCCUUUCUUGAUUUGAUGAAUGGUGGUGCAUGGCCGUUCUUAGUUGGUGGAGUGAUUUGUCUGGUUAAUUCCGAUAACGAACGAGACCUCUGCUAAAAAAUAGGGAAUAUUAAUCUUUUGGUUAGUAUGUGAUCCCUUCUUUUUGGGACUUUUGG